Molecule: ribosomal RNA, 320 nt
Filed under: uncultured eukaryote
Lineage: Eukaryota
Description: partial 18S ribosomal RNA
Rfam family: Eukaryotic small subunit ribosomal RNA
Source: RNAcentral
CCCUUAGAUGUUCUGGGCCGCACGCGCGCUACACUGACGCAUUCAGCGAGUUUUUCCUGCAUCGAAAGGUGUGGGUAAUCUUUUGAACCUGCGUCGUGAUGGGGAUAGAUUAUUGCAAUUAUUAAUCUUCAACGAGGAAUGCCUAGUAAGCGUGAGUCAUCAGCUCGCGUUGAUUACGUCCCUGCCCUUUGUACACACCGCCCGUCGCACCUACCGAUUGAAUGGUCCGGUGAAAUCUCGGGACGGCGGCUUGGUCGCUUGCGUCCGACUGCUGAAACUUGAUUAAACCAUAUCAUUUAGAGGAAGGUGAAGUCGUANCA